Salimicrobium jeotgali is the source of this 141-nucleotide regulatory RNA element. It matches the Rfam family "FMN riboswitch aptamer (RFN element)". Rfam says of the family: The RFN element is a highly conserved domain that is found frequently in the 5'-untranslated regions of prokaryotic mRNAs that encode for flavin mononucleotide (FMN) biosynthesis and transport proteins. This element is a metabolite-dependent riboswitch that directly binds FMN in the absence of proteins. Lineage: Bacteria; Bacillati; Bacillota; Bacilli; Caryophanales; Bacillaceae. The record is from Rfam.
AGUAUCUUUCGGGGUCAGGUGAAAUUCCUAGCCGGCGGUAAUGGAGUAACGUCCUCAGCCCGCGACGGGGAAGAGCGUAUUCCCCCUGAUUUGGUGAAAUUCCAAAGCCGACAGUUAAAGUCUGGAUGGGAGAAAGAUUAU